UACGUAGGGUGCAAGCGUUGUCCGGCAUUAUUGGGCGUAAAGAGCUUGUAGGCGGUUUGUCGCGUCUGCUGUGAAAAUCCGGGGCUCAACCCCGGACUUGCAGUGGGUACGGGCAGACUAGAGUGUGGUAGGGGAGACUGGAAUUCCUGGUGUAGCGGUGAAAUGCGCAGAUAUCAGGAGGAACACCGAUGGCGAAGGCAGGUCUCUGGGCCACUACUGGCGCUGAGAAGCGAAAGCGUGGGGAGCGAGCAGG
RNAcentral lists this ribosomal RNA (253 nucleotides) under uncultured bacterium. RNAcentral describes it as "partial 16S ribosomal RNA". It matches the Rfam family "Bacterial small subunit ribosomal RNA", at positions 524 to 776 of the family's 1533-position model. The record is from RNAcentral.